UACAGAGGUCCCAAGCGUUGUUCGGAUUCACUGGGCGUAAAGGGCGCGUAGGCGGCUUAACAAGUCACUUGUGAAAUCUCCGGGCUUAACUCGGAACGGCCAAGUGAAACUGUCAAGCUAGAGUGCAGAAGGGGCAAUCGGAAUUCUUGGUGUAGCGGUGAAAUGCGUAGAUAUCAAGAGGAACACCUGAGGUGAAGACGGGUUGCUGGGCUGACACUGACGCUGAGGCGCGAAAGCCAGGGGAGCAAACGGG
This 253-nucleotide ribosomal RNA is filed under the name uncultured bacterium. RNAcentral describes it as "partial 16S ribosomal RNA". It matches the Rfam family "Bacterial small subunit ribosomal RNA", at positions 524 to 776 of the family's 1533-position model. The record is from RNAcentral.